Molecule: long non-coding RNA, 1059 nt
Filed under: Mus pahari (shrew mouse)
Lineage: Eukaryota; Metazoa; Chordata; Mammalia; Rodentia; Muridae
Description: predicted gene 29481 (MGP_PahariEiJ_G0003624.1)
Source: RNAcentral
AUCUGGCUUGACUCUUCUGUUCACAGGUGGUCUGUUUGAGGACCUCUGGUGCCACUGAGUGCCAGCCAGGGAUCUUCAGACUACGAUCCUGGUUCUGUGAUAUACCACAGUCACUGGUUAGCAGUUACGUCUCUGGCCACUGAGGGAACACUGUUAGACCCAGCAUAUCAGCAAGAAAACCCUGGCCUGCCACCAGACAUGGAAGGAAGGUCUUCUGGGGAGGCAGGGGUCAGCCACGGGGAGAAGCUCUGCUGAGAGGGAUUCUGUCCACAUACAGCCCAUCGUGGUGGGGAUGGGCUGUAUGUCAAGGCAGCUGGAGUCGGAAGCAGUUGUCACGUCACAUCCACGGACAGGAAAGAGAGAGGUGCUCUGCUCCACGCUGCUGCGCAGCGGUCCUUCUCCUUGUCCACAGCCUUCCAUCACAGCCAGGGAACCCCACCCACACAGGCUCAUGGUCCCACCUCAGCUAGUAUGGUCAAGAUGGUCCCCAAAGUCCUGCCCAGAGGCCAGUCUGCUUCUUAGUUUUCACUGCAUAUUAAGGUUUCUGAUGGUUUAAAAUUCUGAUUAAUAUGUGAAAGUGAAAAUACCAGAAUAAUAGGGAUAAGAGGAAUAAUCAUAAGCUGUGCCCCUCAUCAACUGGGGAAAUAUUUGAAGAGCCCCCAGUGCAUGGCUCCGAACAACCAAUGACAGUAGCAAUCUCGUUGUGUACUGUUUUCCAUAUGCAUACAAAUGUGUGGUGAUGCUUGUUUACAAUUUAGGCACACUAAGAGAUUAACUGUUACAAAUAGCAGAGUGGAACAGCUGUACUGAUACACUGUAUUUAAAGUUUCAUGGGUAGCGCCUCUCUCUCAACUCCUCAUGCUGACAGUAGAUUUGACAGCUGAGGAGGUCACCAUGUGACUAGCAGGUGGAUGGUAUAUAAGCAUGGACACACUGCACAAGGAAAGAUUUCUACCCUGGGCAGAUAUAAUGUGAUAACAUCAGACUUCUUCCUGUUAUUCAAAAUGCUGUGCAAUUUAAAACUGUAAUUGCUUAUAUACAUUUUCAUUUAUAUAUAUG